AUUGAACGCUGGCGGCAGGCCUAACACAUGCAAGUCGGGCGGAUGAAGGGAGCUUGCUCCUGGAUUCAGCGGCGGACGGGUGAGUAAUGCCUAGGAAUCUGCCUGGGAGUGGGGGAUAACGUCCGGAAACGGGCGCUAAUACCGCAUACGUCCUGAGGGAGAAAGUGGGGGAUCUUCGGACCUCACGCUAUCAGAUGAGCCUAGGUCGGAUUAGCUAGUUGGUGGGGUAAAGGCCUACCAAGGCGACGAUCCGUAACUGGUCUGAGAGGAUGAUCAGUCGCACUGGAACUGAGACACGGUCCAGACUCCUACGGGAGGCAGCAGUGGGGAAUAUUGGACAAUGGGCGAAAGCCUGAUCCAGCCAUGCCGCGUGUGUGAAGAAGGUCUUCGGAUUGUAAAGCACUUUAAGUUGGGAGGAAGGGCAGUAAGUUAAUACCUUGCUGUUUUGACGUUACCAACAGAAUAAGCACCGGCUAACUUCGUG
RNAcentral lists this ribosomal RNA (484 nucleotides) under uncultured bacterium. RNAcentral's name for it is "partial 16S ribosomal RNA". It matches the Rfam family "Bacterial small subunit ribosomal RNA", at positions 30 to 507 of the family's 1533-position model. The record is from RNAcentral.